RNAcentral lists this ribosomal RNA (552 nucleotides) under uncultured bacterium. RNAcentral describes it as "bacterial SSU rRNA". It matches the Rfam family "Bacterial small subunit ribosomal RNA", at positions 777 to 1327 of the family's 1533-position model. The record is from RNAcentral.
AAUAGAUACCCUGGUAGUCCACGCCGUAAACGAUGAGUGCUAAGUGUUAGGGGGUUUCCGCCCCUUAGUGCUGCAGCUAACGCAUUAAGCACUCCGCCUGGGGAGUACGGUCGCAAGACUGAAACUCAAAGGAAUUGACGGGGGCCCGCACAAGCGGUGGAGCAUGUGGUUUAAUUCGAAGCAACGCGAAGAACCUUACCAGGUCUUGACAUCCCAUUGACCACUAUGGAGACAUAGUUUUCCCUUCGGGGACAACGGUGACAGGUGGUGCAUGGUUGUCGUCAGCUCGUGUCGUGAGAUGUUGGGUUAAGUCCCGCAACGAGCGCAACCCUUGUUCUUAGUUGCCAUCGUUUAGUUGGGCACUCUAAGGAGACUGCCGGUGACAAACCGGAGGAAGGUGGGGAUGACGUCAAAUCAUCAUGCCCCUUAUGACCUGGGCUACACACGUGCUACAAUGGACGGUACAAACGGUUGCCAACCCGCGAGGGGGAGCUAAUCCGAUAAAACCGUUCUCAGUUCGGAUUGUAGGCUGCAACUCGCCUACAUGAAGCC